Long non-coding RNA from Triticum aestivum (bread wheat), 2037 nucleotides. RefSeq lists it as uncharacterized. The transcript has 2 exons. Lineage: Eukaryota; Viridiplantae; Streptophyta; Magnoliopsida; Poales; Poaceae. The record is from RefSeq and is a predicted model, not a curated record.
UGGUCUCCACCGUGCCCCCCGGGACUGGCCAUAGUAGUAUCGAGGGGUAUAAAUCCCUCACUACUACUAAGUUGAUAGUAGUAGCGAGGGGUAUAAACCCCUCGCUACUACUAAGUGGUCUCUACCGUACCCCCAGGAUAGGCUGUAGUAGUAGCGUGGGGUAUAAACCUGGCGCCACUGCUAUCAACCCACCAAGACAUGUGUACACAUAGCGCGCGGAGGCCCAAACCCGAACCCACACUCUCUUAAUUCCCCUUCUCCCUCCCACCCGUGAUGCCCUUCCUCACCCACCGCCACCACUGGCCUCGCACCUCGGCAUCUCCCCCAAAUCCGGCGACCUCCUCUCCCACCGCAGCCCCCCUCACCUUCGCCUCCUUCCUCCUCCUUCUUCGGUGCCAGAAGGAGAGGGAGAUCCAGCAGAGCGACGCCAAUGGCGAUGGCCAGAUCUGCCACGCAACCACUUGCACUUCCUCGCCGAGACAUGGCCUUGUGAGGACAUGAGGUCCCAGGAAAAGAAGCAGCAGGUCACCGGGCAUCAUCUAGGGUUUCGGGUAUCGGCUCCAACUCCGGUGGCCACCGUUCAAUACUCCUAGGUAUGCCCCUUAAUUUGUAAUUUAUGAGUAAUCAAAAGGGUGCAAAUCUACUUGUCAACCUCCGAUCAUCCGUCGAAAAUCUGAGAAGGCACUGAGCAAGGUAGAAGGAUAUUUAUUUAGGAAGGCGAGUGAUAAUGCUCGCCAUAUGGUGACUGUACAUCCUCAGUUCCUCACUAGCUGAGCUGAAUUACGAUGGAUUUUCGAGGUUGGAUUCCACAUGACAUCUUUACAUGGUUGUCUUAUGUUGGAAAUGGUUUCUGAACUCUGAACUCAGAACUGGUAUCCACUUCUUUUAUCUGCUUCUCUAUUAGGAAGGGAUAAAGGAAGCUGUUCUCUGAACUCGACAAUUGUUCAGACUGUUAUGUUUUCUGCUUAAUUUCCCGAAGAGAGAUGUUGGCACGCACCUAACCUAGGCGAAACAAGUCAUCAGUCAUCAUGGGAAAGCAAGUAUGGUGGAAAUUAUGUUUUGUCUUAUGCUAUUCUCUGCAGUACUUAUGUUCCCCUUUUCGCUUUUCAGAUGCUACGUACAUAGUAGUAGAACAAAAUAUCAUUGUGGGAAAAAUCCUGUGCUGGAAAUUCUGUCGAUGGUAAGGAUAAAAGGUUUCUGUGCUGAAUUUUGGUUGGCGCAAAUCCAGGACCGCAAGUCUUGUGUUGGAAGUCGUGUGUUUGGCUGCAUCUUGGGGAGAGAAUUCAAGCAGCAGCAUCUUGGCCACACAAACUGAAGAGAAGUUUCAGGCUCAAAUGGGUUGAAUCGGUAAAAUUCUAGUACAGGUCGCUCUCUGUACGUCUGGCCAUGUACGUGUUGAUUUGCCAUGUACGACAACAUUCCCAGCACAGGACUGCAAACCUUUUUGCGCAAGUCUUGUGGGAAGUGCUGGAAUUCUAUUGAUGGUUUCUAUGUUCAAUUGAGGUUAAGACAAAUACUGGACCGCAAGUCUUGUGGGAAGUCAUUUGUUUGGCUGCAGCUUGUGGAAUUCAAAGCUCAAGGAAAGUUGCAAACUCAGCUGGGUUGAAUCAGCUUCCUCUACGCCUACCUAGCCUUUGCAUGCUGUGUUUGGCUGGGGUGGGUGAUUCACUAUACCCUGCAAGUUUACUGAUAUUCAAUAAUGUUAUGAGGUCCUCAGUGAACUCACAUGAAUUGAGGAGAUACGUACUGCUGCUAUGACUAUUCUUCAGUGUUGCCAUCUCUGCCUGCUGGAAGUUCCAAGCUGUUUGUUGGGACGCUGGCACAUCCCUUUGGCAGCUGCUACCGGGCGCCUGUUUUCCUUCUUCAGUGUUGCCAUCUCUUCCUCUAUUUUCUCUCCUCAUUCCUAUGGAAAAAUGACUCAUUCCUAGAAAGCAAUACCCACGGUGUACGCCUGCUCAUAUAUUUCCCAAUUCUCCUCCGUCAACAACUCAUGCACUGAAUGGACUUGAGUUAACAUUGCAGCAGAGCUUUUUCUUC